UAUCUAUGACUUGAAACACGCUGCUUUUUCUCCGUGACUUGAAACGCAGAGUGUUUCUAGGUUUCGGGCUCCACGCGUUCCUAGCCCCCGUCUCCCUAGCAUUAAAUGCACACUCCACCAGAGAGAUUCAACCUUGAGCCUUUUCCAGCUGGAUCCGCCUAGUGCGCGACCAGCCCUCGGGGACCUUGGAUGAGGUUCUCAGUUCACCUGCGCUGGGAAGGCGAGGCGUGCGUGCGCGUCCAUCCCUCCAGGCACCUGGACCACCAGCCUCCUUGCGCUCUCGCUGCACUUUCUCCCCUAGCCCGGGUCUCCACCGCUGGUGAGCCAAGGCGUUGCGGAGAGGUGUGGAGGGGGCGGGGAAGGGGCCCGGAGGGGAGGGGCGAGAGAACGCUGUCACGGAGUGUCAUGCUGCCCCUCCCGCCCUCCGCCCGGGGGUGGGGGCGUGGAGCGCGGGAGGGCGGGCUUCUCCGCCAGCCUCGCAGCUCCCGGAGCGCACUGGCCUCCUGAGCAGGGCACGGAGCCCGCGGCCCGGAGCUCGCAGCCGGCCGUCGCCUGCCGUCGUGCUCUGGGCGGCCGCCGGGUUCCUGGAGAGCGCGUCCAGCCAUGGAGCCUUUGCACAAAGACGCUGAGACGGCGGCGGGGGCGGCGGCGGCGACAGCGGUGGACCCCAGGGGGCCGUCCUCUGGGGUGGUCGUGCAGGUUCGAGAGAAGAAGGGACCCCUGCGGGCCGCCAUCCCCUACAUGCCCUUCCCGGUGGCUGUCAUCUGUCUCUUCCUCAACACUUUCGUGCCGGGAUUGGGUACGUUCGUCUCGGCCUUCACUGUGCUGUGCGGGGCACGCACGGACCUCCCAGACAGGCACGUGUGCUGCGUCUUCUGGCUGAAUAUCGCCGCGGCCCUCAUCCAGGUGCUGACAGCCAUAGUUAUGGUGGGCUGGAUCAUGAGCAUCUUCUGGGGCAUGGACAUGGUCAUCCUCGCCAAAUCGAGGGAUCUAGAACAAAGCAUUAAGCUCAAGAGUGUUCCCGUCAACCCCACAUGAGAUAACACAGAUGUGUAGAUGGAGGUCCAUGCCCUGCCUCCCUGUCUCCCAGGCUGCUGACUUGGCUGAUGGAGGAGCAGGAUGUGCAGAUGGCAGAGUGUUGGGCCCAGGCCCUCCUUCUUGCCCUCUCAGCCCCCUUGGGGGUUGCUCAGCCUCUUGGUUGCCUGGGACAUAUCCAGGCAUACUGUCUUGGCACCCAAGUUGUCACCAUGGUUUCUGGAGGCUGCAAGAAGAAAAUUGACCCCUGCUUCCUCUACCCAGACCACCAGACACACCCACCAGGCUCAGCAGCCAUUGCCUUCUCGCCUUUUGUAAAAGAUGAGGUGGGCUGGACUGCUCCGAGCAGCCAUGUUUGGGGAGCCAUCUUGGGACAGCUGCAACUGACUUUGUCCCCAGGAACAGCUAGGUAGAGGCUUGUUCCCCUCGCAUAACUCACAUAGAAAUAUAGGUUGGGUUUCACACGGCACCUUUGUUGUGCCACCAGCAAACACAGUAUCAAAUAAAAACUUCUGAGAACAGUCACAAACACAAAAGCUUCAUCUGUGUUAAUAACGAGCGGAAACAGUCACAGCGGCUUGUCUUGAUCACUGGUCAGUACUUGUCUGACGGCUCUCCCGACUGCUCUUUCUGUUGCUACAUCCAUACCAGACACUGGUAAUCAUUUAUGACAUUUGUCUCAGCACAAGGUUCCAGGCAGUCAUUACCAAUUGAUCCAGGAUAUCUGCAAAAUGUUUUCUAUCCUAAGGUCUUCCCCAAAUAUCAAUGUGGGUCCAGUCCAUAGAAAGGACAGACCAUAAAGCCUGGACAGAGCUGGCCUGGGACCAAGGCAGGUCACCAUGGCAUCUUUAGUUUGUCAGUCACACCUGCUUUGUCUGUCCCUCUUCUAAAUCAUCCAGAACAGGGGCUGGGAGUUGGGGGGGUGGUAAUGAAGAAAGAAUGAAGACAGGAGGAGAGCAGGGGUGUGGGCAUGGCUGAAGUGGGUGCUGGGAAGACAGGGGCAGGAAUUUGUGAUACAGGUGGAGUGCUGGCCACAUGGCUGGUCAUGGGGAAUACUAAUACCACCCCCCCCGGCUGACGCCCUGCCCUUGCAGUGUCUUUGAUAGAGCUCUCCACCCCCAUUUUACAUCCCCAGUGCUUUGCCUUCUGUGUUCAGACUGUUUCUCUUUCUCUCUCUCUUCUUCUGCUGCCUUGAAUCCCUGCUGCUGCAGUCUCCCAAGGGUACAAAGAUCAGGGUAUCCCACAGCAGCUGUGAGCCUACAGGACCUCCGAGGAAGUCCAGGGUCCUGUGAGGGCCGUACCAGGUGGCUCCGGGCACAAGGACCCUCACAUCUUCUCUUCUGCCAUUUCUCAGAUUGGGGUGGAAAGGGAGUAUUUAAAAAAAUAUUAUUUAUUUUGAAAAACACACCUGCUUUUCUCAGCAGGCUCCAAGGUCAACUCCUCUCCCUGCUCCAGAGGUGCAUGGAAGGAACAGGCUCAGAACAUCAGGACUGGGCUAGAGGCAGCAUAUUGACCAAGUGCCAGGGGUGCUGGGCAUGCCUAUCCAACUGACCACUGGACAGGCCUGCCAGGCUGGGUUGCUGUAGCCCUGUGCAGAUGAUCAGGCUCUCUCCCAGGCGUCAGGACUUCACGGAACACUUCCUCUGGGUCUUCACCCCCUACGUGGUACCCUGAAUUUGCUCUGUGCCCUCCCAGGGGCAGUACCAGGGUGGGGGUUAUGAGGCAGCCAGGUGAUAGCCAGUGUGGGAAGGUUCUUGCCCCUCCCCCCCAGGUGUCUGAUGACAUCCCAGCCUUCUAGUUGCUGGGUGUGCCUGUGACCUUUGUGACCUGACCCUAGGGCGCCACCGGCUCCACCUCUGGGAUGUCAUUGUUAGAAUCCAGACGGCUAUAUGCAAAGUGGCUGAGUUGUGAAUGGCUGCCGAGAAGCGGUCUUCUUGGACGUAUUUACUACCGUUUCUGGUGUCCUCUCCUUUUCCCGACAUUCACGUAUUUCUGAAUCCAGACUGUUCUGAGGAAGAUGAUGGAAUCCAUUCGUUGCCAUUUCUUAAUACCCCAGCUGCGUCUGGGCUCCCCACUCACCUCCAAACACUCCUGUGGACAGGCAGAGCCUUGGGGCCCAUGGAAUGUAAAUAGCCUUGCCGGAGCAAGUCCUGGAGAACAUUGGAGACUGGUCUGCAUUUGAAGGAUGAGAGCCGCCGAGUGACAUCAUGAGGUUGGGGACUUCGACCUGAAUUUCAGACGUGCUGCAAGGAGACGCCCUGAGAGGCUGAAGUUGUUGGCUUGGCACGUGGACUUCUGUGCCCCUUUAAGCAGCAAACCUGGGAGCGAUGGUACAGAGCUAGAUCCUCAAUAGAGAGAAAAACCAACAGAAGGUAGGAGGGCACCAAUUUGAAAUUAAGAGAAAAUCGAACCAAAAUGACAAUGAUGGAGUGGCUCUUUGCAUCUCUCCUCAUUCUCAUUCUAAGGUAGGAGGCGCUAACAUGUGGGAAGGGCCCGGAGCUCAGUUCCCCCUGGUCGUACUGGCCUUGAGCCAUCAGUAGGUCCCUCUUGGGGAAUCUUUCCUUCUCCAGCUGAGGCUCUGUCAUAGAGUGACCAGGGCUAAAGAAAGGAGCUGCCACUUUCUGCCUUGGUGAACGGAGGCUCCUGGGAAGACGCUCCCACAUUUCACUGGGGCUCCAGCCCCCUACCAGGCUCCUUAAUUGCAACCUUUGGGAGCAGACCCCCAACUGGAGAGCCCCCAGUAUCAUGAAGAGAUGGGAGUCCCGUGAUGUACUCAUUCCUGCCUCUGCUGCUGGGCUGACUGGCUUGUCCUACCACGUCUCCACCCAUUAGUUUCCUCCAUGGCUGUGUGGGAUUUAGUUGCACCCUUUGAAUACCUGCCAGGGGCCUGUGUAUUUCUGUGUUUUCUUCUGUUGCUUCUGUUUUCCCAAAGCCCCUGUCAUUGCUGCUCUCAAAGAGGCUAGUCGGGUAUCAGAGCUACACCAGACAGCCGUGACACAGGGGAAUGAAUGGUGGGUUAGCGUCCCCUCCCAUGCUGCCAGCCCACGUCCCAUUAGCCCACAUAGCCAGAGAUGACAGGCCUUGGCAAGAGCGGCCCCCACAGCGAGGGAGAAGUCUAUUUCCCUGGCUUGGGCUGGGGGUGGCUACCGGGGGAGUUAGAGGAGAUAGCAAUUUGUAUUGCUUGUUUAGUGAAAUGAGCCAGACUCGAGUGGGAUUUUUCCUGAGUGACAAGUGUCACCAUGACUUCCAGUGUGGGAUGGCUUAAUACCAGGGUUUGUGAGCUCAGAAAGCUGUCUCCUGGGCACCCCCUCCCUCCAGGGGCUGAUGUGGGUAGACUUUAGGAUCCGCCAGAAUAGAGAGUCUGAGGGUGGUCACCGGCUCUAAACAGCAAGGCCUGGGUGAGGCAUGGCUUUAGCAUAAUCAUUCUCAGGUGAUGGACAGUGGCUAGUUCAUGCCUCAUAGUCCAAGCUGGCCAUUGGAUCUAGGUGGCCAGAGUUCAUUUCAGCUAUCUAGAAAGCAGGGUGACCAGCCCAUCGAGUGCUUAGUGGCUGUCAGACCCUUUAGUGACAAAGCUGCCUGAACGACAUAGUUCAGGGCUUCUGUCCCAACUUGGGGAAAGAAUUCAGAAGGGUAUUCCCUGGCUAUGAGCGCCAGGGGCAGAAAUCACAGGCACACGGGGAGCAUGGUGAGUGUGGCACUGACAGGACCUAAUGUCUCAUGGUGAUCGGAGUGGCCAUUGCUUCCACCAGAGUGGAGCCUUGGAGCAAGAACGCAGCACCAGGUAACCCAAGCGUCCUGGCUUCAUUUCUGGUGCUGUGAUACAACAUCCCAACACAAAAGCAACACAAAGGAGGAAAGGGGAGAGGUUUUCUGGUUGGUCGGUUGGUUGGUUGGGCUUAUAAUCCAGGUUAUACAUAGUCCGGCACAGCAGCGGAGUCACGAUGGCAGGAAGCAGCUAAGUCACACCACAUCCACAGUCGACAGCAGAGAGACGCAAACGUGUCCAUGCCGGGUUUGUUUUUAUUCUUUCUUUGUUUGUCUGUCCUGUGCCUCAGCUAGUUCUAUGUAAACUUAGAAAGUCUAGGACUCGGCCCAGGAACCGGCACCACCCGAAUUGAGGGUGGACCAUCCCUCUUCAGUGAGCAGCUAAGACAAUCCUCCACAGGCGUGCACACAGGCCAAUCUGAUCUAAAUAAUUCCUCAUUAAGACUUUCCCCAGGUGGCUCUAGGUUUUGUCAAGUUAAAGCUACUCAGCAGUGUGUAGCGUAUUGUGAAGGCUACUGAAGACCUCAGACUGUGGCCUAAAGGCCACCUCCCAGCCUCGGUCUGACAAACCUGCUGCCCUUGCCUGGGCCAAGUCUCCAGAUGCUCUGGAGACAGGAGAAGGAAGUAACAUGGGCACCGUAAGCUCCCUGCCUCCAUGGCCCCAGACCUGUGUCCAGGCCCAGCCAACAGCCCCAGCAGUAGGCCUGGCCUGGGUGCUGCCCAGGGCAGUUCAUCUCCUACUAUUCUAUGAGCAGCCUGUGAGGAGGGAAGCUUUCACCCGGAGAGAUCAGGCUUCUCCCCAAGACACACGCCCCUCAGAAGUCAAGGGAGGAAUAAUGAACCUCCUCAGAAGGAUGGGGUAGCAUUUUCCCACCUGUCUUCCUGGAUCCUUGAGCUCAUCUGUCCUCAAAGCCAUGCCCCCUGGCUUCUGCAGGUCCCUUAUGGAGGGUGGGAGCAGAGGGCAGCUAGAGACAGAGCUGGUGCCAACAGCUGCCUGGUUCGUGGGAUCCAGUUCCUGCACUCCAUCACAGGACUGAGGCUGCACUGAUGCCCGAUACAGUCUUGGGGUGUAGGAUGCUAAGGACUGAGUAGGGGUGGGGCAGGGAGGAGAACUCAGCUAAAGGAGAUACAGAAAAAAAAAAAAAAAAAAGAACUACAGGCUAGCAUGUCUGAAAAGAAUCAAGAUGUCCAAAAGAAAAGACAUCCACACAUCUCAAACACAGGGUCAAAGGCCAGCAUAUAGUGGGCUGAAAACCCAAAACUAGAAAAAAAAAAAUCCCCUUUAAAGGCCCAGGGGUCCCAAAGGGGGAAAGUGAGGCUGAAUGAUACUUUUCCUUCUACCUUAAGAUGCAAAAACACAACCGGCUCGCCCUAAGUCCUUUUCUUUAGCUGGUCUCUUCCUGGCUGGCUGGCUGGCUGGCUGGCUGGGUGGUGACCUCCGAGGCCUCCAGCUCAUGUGAGGUGGGAGUAGGCUACUCAGGCCUUAGUGAUGUUCCUUGUGGUUGAUGACAGAAGAAAGCUGGGGCCGUGUUCAGAGUGCUGGAGGGACUCCAUCAGUCAGAGCUCCUCUGUGGCCACUGCCUCUCCUACUCUGGCGUGGAAGUGCACCUGAUGCAGACCAAGGUUGCCCCCUAGUGGAGGCAGGAAGCCAGGACACCAUCUGUGGGCCUGCCGGUGGGGCCCACCCCCCUGCUGUGAGGUUCUGCAGUUGGCAAGCAUUCCUUCGGGGCUAAAAUGCUCAGAUCCGGAACUGAUGAAAGAUGAUGCCCUCCAGGCCUCCUCCCUGCAGUAGUGACGUGAUGGCAAGUGGGGCAGGAGACCCUUUCCUCAACGACCAGCAGCUCUGUUUCCUUCCCGAGGGUUCUGUGUCCAGGCUGUAGGGGACACAGACAUGGGCAUCCCAGGGUGACCACGGUCCAGUUUCACCCACGCCCCUUCAGCUAGCUGCCUUUUAACCUCCUUUCAACCAUCUACAGUAUAGAAGUGAAGCCAGCUUGUCAUUUUCACCAAUCCUGCCAAGGCGAAGGGGCUAGGAAGCCCAGGCCCAACCAGGCAAGGGAGGUAUGCUAACCUCUUGGUUCACAAGGCUGAUAGUGCCAGAGCAAGGAGGGCUUAAACUGUCUCUGGUAAAACAAACACAGGUCACCGGUGAGUGACCUUUUCCAGGGAGACUCAGAGAAGUGCCUCUUCGCCCCAACUAGGUCAUCAAAAGACUAAAGAAAAGAUUCCACCAAAGGUAAAUCUGGGACCCAGUGAGUUUAUGGGGUUAUGUACGGGAGCAUGGGUGACCCUUGGUAAACUAUGUCACUGAAAAACCCCCACCCCAGCGUGGUGACUGUCCUUACCCCCCACCCAACUCUGCCCACUGUCCACACCAGUCUCCCUCUCUCCUGGGGUCGGUGGGUUCAGUGUCCCCACUGCACCAAGUCCAGCUCUACUGAAGCCCCCCGGGCCCCAGAGUGGUCCACUAUGGAGAGUCUGGGGAGGGGGGCAUCUUCCUGACGUUUUUCUGGGGCUUCAGGCAGGACUUUGGCUUCUGAGCUUCUACACUGUCUGCACCAGCUCAGGAUCCAGCAAGGAGUAGAUGAGGAGGGAAGCUUUGAGCAGGAAGUGAUGGUGGGGAACGUGACAAAUUCCUGCAGGCGCCUGCGGUGCCCCUUUGUUUUCAACAACACAUAAAAGGAAGGCACUGGCCAUAUCACUGAAUUAUGGGCAAGUGUUGGGCUGUGAAUCACUGUCUUUGGUGUUGCCAUUGGCUUUGUUUGGGUCUCUUUUUCCUGUUAAAUUAGUUGCUGAACGUUUUCAUGUUCUCUGACAAUAGCCAGGGCUUUCUUUUCUCACUCCCACUCACACGGAGCCCACAUGCUCCUGUCCGGGGGGGGGGGGAGGGGAGCAUUGCGAGCCCCUUCCAAAGGUUGCAAGCAUUCUUGGAGACUACUUGGACUAUCUCAGCUCUGGGGAAGAUUCUAGACUCGCCUGUCCGAAACUGAAGUCUGGGGCCCAGGUUUGACUUUGGCUCAACUUUCCCAGUGUCCUCAGGCUUGAGCCCCAAGCCUUGGCCCAGGGCCCACCGGGCUCCACAGGAGCAGAGCUGGGCUCCUGCUUCUCCAGCCGUCCAUCUUUGAACCCCUUUCUCUCAGCUGCUGUACAUGUGAUGAAGAACACCACCCACAAGCCUGUGUACAUAUCUCCAUAAACGUAUGUGUACAUACACACGUCUCCCUGAUAGAAAGAUACAAGAGCAUGGCAUUUCUUUGGCAUUCCAAUUUGUGGGUUUUGUUUUGUUUUUCUAAUCCUUGGAAAUAAUGGUUUUGGCAACCCUUUCUUCUUUUUCCUCUUUUCUAUGUAAUAAACAUUCAUGUGACCUUU
Molecule: RNA transcript, 8169 nt
Organism: Meriones unguiculatus (Mongolian gerbil)
Lineage: Eukaryota; Metazoa; Chordata; Mammalia; Rodentia; Muridae
Gene: Stum
Gene name: stum, mechanosensory transduction mediator homolog
Exons: 4
Source: RefSeq, a predicted model, not a curated record